RNAcentral lists this ribosomal RNA (468 nucleotides) under uncultured bacterium. Its description in RNAcentral is "partial 16S ribosomal RNA". It matches the Rfam family "Bacterial small subunit ribosomal RNA", at positions 28 to 507 of the family's 1533-position model. The record is from RNAcentral.
GACGAACGCUGGCGGCGUGCUUAACACAUGCAAGUCGAACGGAAAGGCCCUGCUUUUGUGGGGUGCUCGAGUGGCGAACGGGUGAGUAACACGUGAGUAACCUGCCCUUGACUUUGGGAUAACUUCAGGAAACUGGGGCUAAUACCGGAUAGGAGCUCCUGCUGCAUGGUGGGGGUUGGAAAGUUUCGGCGGUUGGGGAUGGACUCGCGGCUUAUCAGCUUGUUGGUGGGGUAGUGGCUUACCAAGGCUUUGACGGGUAGCCGGCCUGAGAGGGUGACCGGCGACAUGGGGACUGAGAGACGGCCCAGACUCCAACGGGAGGCAGCAGGGGGGAAUAUUGCACAAUGGGCGGAAGCCUGAUGCAGCAACGCCGCGUGCGGGAUGACGGCCUUCGGGUUGUAAACCGCUUUCGCCUGUGACGAAGCGUGAGUGACGGUAAUGGGUAAAGAAGCACCGGCUAACUACGUG